GUGGCUUUGUUUAAAGAUUAGUUUAUGAUUUGCUAAAGCUGAUUAAUUUUUAGUAAGUUUUUGUUCGAUGGAGCCUAAAAAAAAUGUUCCCCUCGCUAUCCUAUGUUGCUAUCAGUGUUAACAUCUGGACGUUGGGAAACUACAUUU
This is a small nucleolar RNA of Erigeron canadensis, 147 nucleotides long. RefSeq annotates it as small nucleolar RNA snoR136. The transcript has a single exon. The record is from RefSeq and is a predicted model, not a curated record. NCBI's taxonomy places the organism in Eukaryota, Viridiplantae, Streptophyta, Magnoliopsida, Asterales, Asteraceae.